Molecule: RNA transcript, 2355 nt
Organism: Lolium perenne
Lineage: Eukaryota; Viridiplantae; Streptophyta; Magnoliopsida; Poales; Poaceae
Gene name: protein ROOT PRIMORDIUM DEFECTIVE 1
Source: RefSeq, a predicted model, not a curated record
GCUCAAACGGCCCAAACCGUCCAAAACCUCCCCCAAAGCCCCAAUGCUCCGUCGCAUCGCCGCGUUCCGGCCGCCGCCGUCACGCGCGGCGGCGGUGGCAUCCGUCGGCGGGGCCAACGCCGGCUACUCCUCCAAGUCCACCUCCCUCCCCCAGAAGCAGAAGCGCGUGCGCGACCACGCCUUCGACGGCAUCAUGGAGGUCCAGAAGCGAGUCCGCCGCUUCCUCGCGCUCCACGCCCUGCUCCUCUACGCCGCCUCCCCCACCGCGCCCUCGGGCGCCUUCUCCGCCGGCGGGAGCGGCGCGGUCUCCGUGUCCUUCUCCCGCCUCGGGGCCCUCGCGCGCCGCCAGCUCCGCCUCUCGCCCCUCGACGCCGGCCAAUUCAUGCUGCGCCACCCGCACGCCUUCCACCUCUUCCUCCACCCCGUCCACCGCAUCCUCCACGUGCGCCUCACCCCGCGCGCCGCCGCCGCGUUGCGCCUCGAGGCCGACGCCAUCACCGCCUCGCGCCCCGACGCCAUCCUCCGCCUCCGCAAGCUCCUCCUCCUCGCGCCCCCUCACCACCGCCUCCGCCUCGAGAACAUCCACCUCCUGCGCCGCGACCUCGGCCUCCCCGACGAUUUCGCCGACUCCGUCAUCCAAUCCAACCCCGCCCUCUUCCGCCUCGCUCCUGACGGGUUCGUCGAGCUUGUGCCCUCCCCCGACGACCCACCCGACCUCACCGUCGCCGCCGUCGAGCGCUCCCGGGAGCGCCACUACCGCGAGCACCGCUCUCCCGGGGAUGGUGAGGAGGACGCGCGCUUCGCGUUCCCCACCCGCUUUCCGCCGGGCUUCAAGAUCGGCAAGUACUUCCGGAUUGCAGUUUGGAAAUGGCAGCGGCUCCCAUACGCGUCUCCGUACGCGGACGUCUCUGGCCACGACCUGCGCUCGCUCGAGGCACAGCGGCGCAUGGAGAAGCGUGCUGUCGCGGCCGUCCAUGAGCUGCUCUCUCUCACGGUUGAGAGGCGCACCACGCUGGAGCGUCUCGCGCUGUUCCGCGACGCCCUUGGUGUGCCCAAGAAGAUCAAGGAGUUCUUGCUUAAGUACCAGGGCAUAUUUUACAUAUCCACAAGGGGAAACCAGGGGAAGCUGCACACUGUGUUCCUCAGGGAGGCAUACUACAAAGGGGAGCUUCUGGAUUCCAAUGAGAUACAUGACGCAAGGAGGAAACAGGAGGAGCUGCUCUUGAUGAGCCCUGAGAAGGCGAAUUUGGAUCGCAUGUUCACCAGCAUGGGUCGUGGAUGGGAUGAGCUUGGUGGUGGUCGCCGUGGUGGAGCAGAAUUGAGGGAGAAGUUUCUCGGGGAUGCUGGUGGCCGAAAGAGAAAAAUUGGUGGUCAUGAUGAUGAUGAUGAUGAUGAUGGUGCCGAUAGCGGGGAGGACUCAGGAGUCGAGUCACUCUACAUCGAAUGAGGAAUCAAAUCAUACUUUGGCACUGAAUGUUUUCUUGGGAAUGGGAAGCUUUGCUUCUGAAACUGGCGAGGGUACUGUCUGGGAGGAUUGAUUUUUCGUGCUAGCGUCAACACCGUUGCGUACUGAUCUUGAGGAGAGAAAGCUAAUAUUCUGAGGUGAAAAUUGGAGUGGGGUAUCAUGCUAAAACUGAUGACACUUCUGACUUGAUAAAGUGAUCACCCUGGGUGCUACCAGUACCAUGCAUCUGCAUCAAAUGGCUGUUGGCAUCUUCAGUUGCACCAAUUGUGCGAAGGGACUAGGGGAAGAGAAUCCCUUUCUGCUCCCAAGCUAAUCUGAUCUGUGUGUUCUGACUUGCACAAUGGAUAUGCAUCCAGUUACCCCAGGUCUGCAGACCAGACGUGCGGUCAGCAGUCAAGAGCUUAGUUAUCUUCAGACGAGGAACUUACCCUUCAGGAAUGUUUGGCAUUAUACCGCGAAUCAGUUGAGUUGUGCAAUAUUAUUUAACUUAGAGCCAUAAAAAAUGUAAAGUUUUAUCCCAUAUUCUAAAAUGUUCUGUGUUAACUUUAUUUUUAGCUGCCAGUGACUCAGUUGAAUUUUGCAGCCCCCUUCGCUUCAAAGAUGCCUUUGUUAUAAGAUAGACACAAAACAGAUAAAUAGUUGAAUUUAUAAAAAAAAUCUAAAUUGAAGUAUUUUGCACUCUAUGGAUGUAUUACUUUGUAUAUUUAGCUGAGCAUCUCGAGAAUGGAAUUUGGUGCUCUUAGUAAUUUUCAUGAACUAAUUUUGUACUAGACCUGAAUGGUAGCUCGGUUGAACAAAGCCUACCAAGUUACUUGAGCUUGUUUGAAAGAGUAAACUUCGUGAUAUACCAAUGACAUGAUUGAAAGUUGAAACUUAUUUUUGGGGCAAAU